This 301-nucleotide ribosomal RNA is filed under the name uncultured bacterium. Its description in RNAcentral is "partial 16S ribosomal RNA". It matches the Rfam family "Bacterial small subunit ribosomal RNA", at positions 509 to 807 of the family's 1533-position model. The record is from RNAcentral.
CAGUCGCCACGGUAAUACGUAGGUGGCAAGCGUUGUCCGGAAUUAUCGGGCGUAAAGGGCUCGCAGGCGGUCUCUUAAGUCUGAUGUGAAAGCCCCCGGCUCAACCGGGGAGGGUCAUUGGAAACUGGGAAACUUGAGUGCAGAAGAGGAGAGUGGAAUUCCACGUGUAGCGGUGAAAUGCGCAGAUAUAUGGAGGAACACCAGUGGCGAAGGCGACUCUCUGGUCUGUAACUGACGCUGAGGAGCGAAAGCGUGGGGAGCGAACAGGAUUAGAUACCCCUGUAGUCCCUGUCUCUUAUAC